This 267-nucleotide ribosomal RNA is filed under the name uncultured bacterium. Its description in RNAcentral is "partial 16S ribosomal RNA". It matches the Rfam family "Bacterial small subunit ribosomal RNA", at positions 793 to 1055 of the family's 1533-position model. The record is from RNAcentral.
GUCCACGCCCUAAACGAUGUCAACUAGGUGUUGGGAGGGUAAAACCUUUUAGUACCGUAGCUAACGCGAGAAGUUGACCGCCUGGGGAGUACGGCCGCAAGGUUAAAACUCAAAGGAAUUGACGGGGACCCGCACAAGCGGUGGAUGAUGUGGAUUAAUUCGAUGCAACGCGAAAAAACCUUCCUACCCUUGAACAUGUUCAGGAGUCCGAAGAGAUUUGGAUGUGCUCGAAAGAGAACUGGAACACAGGUGCUGCAUGGCUGUCGU